CUUUCCUGUCCUCUUCAGUGCCUCUUUUCUUGAGAUGAUAUGAAAACCAGAUACAGCAAUUGUUCAUCUGAUUUUCGGUUCUUAUGCAGUAUCUGGUGCCUGGAGAAGGAGAUGGAGAAGUAGGAGCAGAAGAAGGAGAAGGAAGGAAAGAAGAACAAAGCUAGAGGCUCAUCAGUGAACUGUGUGACCAAACAGAACAGAAGCUUGUUUUUCAUUCAUGCUACCUACUCCUCCCGGAGCUGGCAGGAGUUGUUGUCCACAUUGUCAAGCGGGGUCAUUGACGACUGAAUUUCCCACAUUUUGUGACAGCUGCAUCUAGAAUAUGCAGCACUCUCCAUCAUCACGUGAGAAAAAGAGAUUGGAGAAUCACCCAGAGCUCUUUAUUGCCUCAGCCAAAUAAGUGACAUAUGUCAUGUCUCAUGAUUCAUUGGCCAGAACUAGGCCCGUGGCCCUGUCUAACUGCAAGGGAGCUGGAAAAUGUGGAGAAGCAGAUGGAAUAUUGGAUAUUUAAAUACUACUGCUUUAA
Molecule: long non-coding RNA, 526 nt
Organism: Nomascus leucogenys (northern white-cheeked gibbon)
Lineage: Eukaryota; Metazoa; Chordata; Mammalia; Primates; Hylobatidae
Exons: 3
Source: RefSeq, a predicted model, not a curated record